CACGCCCAACACGCCCUUCCUCCGUCACAGCAGAAUAUGGAAUAUCCGUCAUAAAACAUUGCUUUAAAAAAGUUGAGUGAAUGUUCUGUUAUAGUAGAGGAUACUUGUCUUCAUGAGAAGAUGGCUUCAUUGUCUGUAGGUGAGUGUAGCUGGUGCAUGAAGUCAGGUACAGGAGAGCAGAAUGAGUGAGUAACGUACUUUACUUAAAAUAAAGGCACAAGGUAACAAUACACUUGACCAAUAACAAUACGGUAAAUAUUACGCACGGGUGAAACACAGCACCCGUCGAAAAACCCAGCCAUCAUAAAUCGAACUGAACGAUAAAUAACCCCACAUGGGGGAAACAGAGGGUUUAAAUACAGGAACAAAUAAUUGUGAAAUGAAAAACAGGUGUGUGAAAACAAAGACAAAACCAAAACCAAAGGAAAAAGAAAAGUGGAUCGGCAAUGGCUAGUAGACCCGAGCGCCGCCCGAACAAGGAGAGGAACCGACUUCGGUGGAAGUCGUGACAUGUCUCUUGGCGUUAAGGCAAAAAAAUACUUAUAUCAACAAAAUGAUAUCAAAUCAUUAAAAUAAUACAUUAAUAUAAUUGUGUGUGUUUAAUGUGUAUAAUAGUUAUCUAGGAAUAAGUGUCUGCAAAAAAUAUUGUGUACGUAAGGUUUAGAGGAGUAUGCGAGUCAGAAGUGUAUGGGUCAGACUCAAACCCAUGUCGUCUCUGGUAGCCUCUGUACAUCUCACGGCUUUAACCACUGGACCACACAGGCCCCUCUAGUCCCCUGAUGAUGCUUUAACUGCUUUAUGAAAAGUCCCUGUUUUUCUCCGAUCACAGAGAACCAUAAAAUACAGCAACUGAUCUGUGGUACCAUGCAUAAAUGUAUUAAAGCAAUAAUGAACAACUAAUCAAAUAUAAACUUAAUCAGAUUACACUAUUCCUGUUUUUAUACAUCGAAGGUUUAUACAAACAAAUUAUCCAAUACGUAUAAUCCAAUACAUCUAUUUGUAAAACAAUUAUCUUAUAUUAUAUUAAAUAAAAAAGUAAUUCAUAUUUGUGCUCUAAGUGCAGUUUUAUGAUCAGAGUGAAAGCAAAGACACUGUACAGACUGUAGCAACUGUUCCUGUGUUCAGGCAAACCACUAAAUGUCACUUGAAGUCACUUGAGUACGUGGAACGACAAAGAGAACUGGGGUCAAAAUGUUUCAUAGCAGAAAGAUUUUUCACAUUUUAAAAUGACCUGUUGUUUCUUUGGGAAGAUGUAUAAAGUGAUCUGUGCAUUUGAAAAACAGUAUAAACACACCAAUUUCACUUUUGCAUGUAGAAUCACCACUGUUCUGUUAUUUUUAGAACAAGCAACACACAGCCAGCUCACGGGUCUAUCGGUGCCAUAAGCACAGGGAAGAAGCACAGAUAAGACAAGAACGCAAGAAGCACAGAUAAGACAAGAACGCAAGAAGCACAGAUAAGACAAGUGAAAACAAAUGAUCUCACUGGGGAUGACUUGGGCACAGAGACAUGUUUUUUUUUUUUGUCCUACCAGAUCGGCAAGAAAGUUCUAGUGUAUUCCUUCUGUCCUUCGACUGAUGUUGAAUGUAGACAAAGAGAAAAAAAUCUUUGAUAUGGAUGAAAAUUGAUUUUCCUAGUGUUUACUCUUUACAAACAUUUAACUCAGUAGGUUAAUACAUUUUUAAUGUACUGUAGAUAUUUUGAAAAUGUUCCAUGCAACAUCUUCCAGCAUUUAAUCUCAAGGGUAUUUAAUCUCAACAGCUAUAAACUAAAUGUUAUCACACAACUCUAACCAUUUUGUUUGGUUUUAUGGCUGUCAUAUAACCAAGGUCAGUGGUACUGUAUGACAAGUUAUGUAAUUAAUUGGUUCUACAGAGAGAACAAGGGAGACAAUGGCUGUGUUUCAUUCCAGGAAGAUGUUCCCUCCCUUAUGCUCUCAUCACCUCCUCACAGACUGGAUAUGCCAAAACAAUGUGGCAGGUUGUCUCAGAUCUGUGAUGUGGAGUGAAGAACGAGGGCAUAGUGAAGUGAAGAUUUUCCUGGAAUGAAACACAGCCAACACCUGCAUGGAACACUGACAAUCUAAACAUACUUUGUUUACAUACUUCAGUACUAGUUGAGUUAAACUCUAAUGGAAAGGAUGUAUGAUGUCUACAAGGACCAUAUAUAUAUAUAUAUAUAUAUAUAUAUAUAUAUAUGAGAGAGAUUUAAUUUUGGAACAUGCAGACACAUCACAUUUUCAAAAGCCACACCAAUCCUACCUCAUAACCGACAACCUUUAGACACAGCUGAACAGACUGUAAAUCACUGUGGAAUAUCCAUCAUAAAAAUCAAAUUCAGUUUUACGUUCACGUUCUGUCAUUUGAGUAGAGGAUACUGACUUCUAGACUGUGGAGUCCUUGACUAGAGGAACUAGAUUCAGAUGGUUAUUACCUGCGUUUUUUUAGAAGUCUGGGAUGGACUACAAAUAUUUAAUUUUCAGAAGGCUGAAAAAUAGGCUUUUUAGGUGAGCUCUGAUGCCGCCCUAUGAUAAGUAGUUCCCACUUUGUCAAAAGCAGGGACACAAAAGAAUGAUCUUGUCCAUUCCCAGCGCCUCUCCAGGGUGCUGUUAGAGAGACACAUCUCUGCAGCGCUCCACCAACGUUACGUCGAAAAAGAUUUCUAACAUAAAUCAUGUAGCAGAUAGAGGAUAUGGUAGAAAGAGUAUGUGGCCUUUUCUGUAGCCUACAGGCUGGAGAUAAAAAUGUAUGACAAUGUAAUGAGACAGAAACUUUUUACAUCAUGCAGGUUUCUCCGAUCAAAUAGGCUAACCUAAAUGGCGCCCAAUCAAAUAAAUGUGCUGACAUGUUAACAAACAACAUAUCCUAAUAACAGGACAGGUCAAAGUAAAAUGGACAAUAUGGAAUGGACAAUUAGGCUACUCACAACUGCUGUGUACGAGCUUCAUCUCGUGGGCUAAAUUGUCAUGAUCAGUGGUUUCAAGUUUGUAUCUGUACAUUUUUUACGAGCUGAUCAUAGUGAAAAAUAAAAUACUUCUGCAUUUCCCACUGUGUAAACACAUUACAAAUAGGCUUGUGAUAAAUCCAGAUAAAGUUAGAUAACUGAUAUUCAGAGAUGAAAUAGCCAAAUUGAUUAGUCACAGGAAUCAGGACUAAUAAAGCCAAUGCAAUUGCCUGUUUUACAAACGGUGGGCCUAUCACAUGGAUGGGAAUACAUAAAGUUCCAUUGCAGGAGACAUGGUAGGCUACACCCCAGUAAGCAGCAGGGGCGGCAGGGUAGCCUAGUGGUUAGAGCGUUGUAACCGAAAGGUUGCAAGUUCAAAUCACCUAGCUGACAAGGUAUUAAUGUGUCAUUCUGCCCCUGAACAGGCAGUUAACCUGCUGUUCCUAGGCCGUCAUUGAAAAUAAGAAUUUGUUCCUAACUGACUUGCCUAGAAAAAUUAAAGCACGGACUGACGCUGAGGUCUUUUGUUUGUAUCCAGACCGGCCAUUGUUUUUGGGGGUGUUUUAGAAAUGGUAGGCCUACCAUUCCUAAAAUUACAUUUCAGGCAACACUGUCCUCUAGGGCUUGAUUGGUGUCACACUAACACAUCUGAAACCAAUAAUCAACUAAUCAUGAUCUUCAGUUUAGAAUGCAAUUAGUUUAAUCAGCUGUGUUGAUUAGGGACGGGAAAAAGUGUGACACCACUCCGGCCCCCGAGGAUUGUAGAUUUUGGGUUCCAUGUAGAACCUUCUGUGGAAAGGGUUUUACAUUAACCCAAAUAGGUUUGUACCUGGAACCAAAAGGGUUCUACCUGGAAAAAGGUUCUUCAAAGGGUUCUCCUUUGGGAACAGCUGAAAACACUUUUAGGUUCUAGAUGGCACUUUUUUUUUUUUUAAAGCGUGUACUACUACGACUACAAUUAACAAAAAUAAUAAUAAUAAUGAAUGGGAUUUAUAUAGUGCUUUUCAAGGACCCAAAGUCGCUUCACAUUAGUUUUAAAGAAACGCAAGAAACCAAAAAUCUAAACAAAAACAGUGCCCAAAUAAACAGAAGAAAAACAGAAAGUAUGAGUGCAUGAGUGAGUGUGUGGAUAGUGGGGGGGGGGGGGGGGGGUUAUGGGUAGGCCAUGGUGAAGAGAUGGGUCUUGAGGUGGGACUGAAAUAGAGCGAUGGAGGGAGUUUCAGACUCUGGGUGCAACGCUGGAGAAGGCGCUGUUUUCAACGCUCCGGAGCUUGAUUCUUGAAAUGACAAGGUGGCCUGUAGUGGUAGAACGAAGGAGUGAGUGUACAAUAGUUUCUGCUAUUUAUUAUAGAUUUUAAAGACAAAAGGUAAAUCACAUGAAUAAUUUUAAAUUGUACCCUUAAGGUUCUCAUGAAUAUAGCAAGAAUCCUACGUCACAGUACUGUCACGUUCGUCGUACAAAGUAGACCAAACCGCAGUGGGAAUGUGAGUGCUCAUCUUCUUCUUUAUUUAGAAGUUACGUGAUACAGAAACACUGAAACAAAACAACAACGAAAAAACAGUCCCGUAAGGACAAAAUGGCUAUACGGAGAAACGACUACCCACAAAUCCCAAUGAACAAAUACCCCUAUUAAAUAGGACCUUCAAUUAGAGGCAAUGAGGAACAGCUGCCUCCAAUUGAAGGUCAACCCAAUAAACUAAGCAUAGACAUAGAAGAAUAGACACAGACAUAGAAAUAGACUAACAUAGAACAUUGCCCAAAAAACCCUGAAACACACUAAACAAACACCCCCUGCCAUGCCCUGACCAAACUACAAUAACAAACAACCCCUUUUACUGGUCAGGAUGUGACAGUACCCCCCCCCCCCAAAGGUGCAGACCCCGGAUGCACCUCAAACAAAAACAAAAAUAAACCCCAAAACCAAAAUAAUCCCAAACUAAAGGGAGGGAAGGGAGGGUGGCCACCGUCACCGACGGUUCUUGUGCUACACCCCACCCUCCCCAAUCCUCCUACUAUGGAGGUGGCUCAGGCUCCGGCCCUAGACUCUGGGAGCUCCGGACUGGAGGGCGACUCUGGGAGCUCCGGACUGGAGGGCGACUCUGGGAGCUCCGGACUGGAGGGCGACUCUGGCUGCGCCGGUUCCGGACUGUAGGGCGACUCUGGCUGCGCCGGUUCCGGACUGUAGGGCGACUCUGGCUGCGCCGGUUCCGGACUAUAGGGCGACUCUGGCUGCGCCGGUUCCGGACUAUAGGGCGACUCUGGCUGCGCCGGUUCCGGACUGUAGGGCGACUCUGGCUGCGCCGGUUCCGGACUGUAGGGCGACUCUGCAGGCUCCGGACUGUGGGCCGUCUCUGCAGGCUCUGGACUGUGGGCCGUCUCUGCAGGCUCCGGACUGUGGGCUGUCUCUGCAGGCUCCGGACUGUAGAACAUUGCCGGAAGCUCUGGACGGGGAACUGUCGCCGGAAGCUCUGGACGGGAAACUGUCGCCGGAAGCUCUGGACGGGGAACUGUCGCCGGAAGCUCUGGACGGGGAACUGUCGCCGGAAGCUCUGGACGGGGAACUGUCGCCGGAAGCUCUGGACGGGGAACUGUCGCCGGAAGCUCUGGACGGGGAACUGUCGCCGGAAGCUCUGGACGGGGAACUGUCGCCGGAAGCUCUGGACGGGGAACUGUCGCCGGAAGCUUUGGACGGGGUACUGUCGUCGGAAGCUUUGGACGGGGUACUGUCGUCGGAAGCUCUGGACGGGGACUGAGCACUGAAGGCCUGAUGCGUGGGGCUGGCUAUGGAGGCGCCAGACUAUUUACACGCACCACAGGGCUAGUGCGAGGAGCAGAAGCAGGAUGAACUGGACUGGGCUGAUGCACUGGAGCCCUGGUGCGUGAGGCUGGUACUGGAGGUACCAGACUGGAGACACACACCCCAAGGCUAGUGCGAGGAGCAGGAACAGGACGUACUGGACUGGGCGUGCGGAUGGGCGAGACCGUGCGCACUUCCGCAUAGCACGGUGCUCUCUUGAUCCGUCGCUCCUCGUAAUAAGCACGGGAAGUUGGCUCACAUCCCAUUCCUGGCCUAGCCAACCUACCCGUGUGGCCUCCCCAAAAAAGUAUUGGAUGUGCCUCUCGGGUUUCCUUGCCAGCCGUGUCCCAGAAUAGCGUUUUCUCCAAUCUCCUGCUGCCUCCGCUCUCCUGGCUGCCUCCACCUGUUCCCAUGGGAGGUGAUCCCUUCCAGCCUGGAUCUCCUCCCAUGUGUAGGAUCCCUUUCCGUCCAAUAUCUCCUCCCAUGUCCAUGAAUCCAAAGAGCUCCUCUGCUGCUCCUUCCUCCGCUGCUUUGUCCGUUGUUGGUGGGUAGUUCUGUCACGUUCGUCGUACAAAGCGGACCAAACCGCAGCGGGAAUGUGAAUGCUCAUCUUCUUCUUUAUUUAGAAGAAACGUGAUACAGAAACACUGAAACAAAACAACGACGAAAAAACAGUCCCAUAAGGACAAAAUUACUAUACGGAGAAACAACUACCCACUAAUCCCAAUGAACAAAUACCCCUAUUAAAUACGACCUUCAAAUAGAGACAACGGGGAACAGCUGCCUCCAAUUGAAGGUCAACCCAAUAAACUAAGCAUAGACAUAGAAUGAAUAGACACAGACAUAGAAAUAGACUAACAUAGAACAUUGCCCAAAAAACCCCGAAACACACUAAACAAACCCUGCCACAAACAACCCCUUUUACUUGUCAAGAGGUGACAAGUACAUAUAGGAUUUGGAGACUAUUGGUGCUCCUGAGUAGAAUGGAUCCCCAUUUUUCUGCAAGACAAUGUACAGAAAAUUGUGUACAGUGCUAUAUGUACAUUUAUAAACUGGGUGGUUCGAGGACUGUUUUUUCUUCUUCUUGUGUUUCUUUUAAACUAAUGUGAAGUGACUUUGGGUCCUUUAAAAGCGAUAUAUAAAUUGUCUGAAUGCCGUAUACUACUGGUAUGACAAAACAUUUAUGUUUAAUGUUGUAAUUAUGUUAGUAACGCCCCUCGGGGUUUGUGGUAUAGUAUAUGGCCAAUAUACCACGGCUAAAUGAUGUAUCCAGGCAAUGCACGUUGCGUCGUGCAUCAGUACAGCCCUUAGCCGUGGUAUAUUGGCCAUAUACCACAACCCUCAGGCCUUAUUGCUUAAGUAUAUUCUAUACACACAGCUGACUGCAUUUCAGCUGAUUCUACAUAUCAAAUAAAGGGCUGAAAUAAUAGUGUGUGUACUCUGUAGAAUUGGGUGUGUAAUCUCUGUAGAUUUGAAUAGACUGUUUGUUGUCUUGAGUAGGCCCUACUGGAAAUGGUUUUGUUGAAGGGAGCUUGUGCCCAAGAGCAGUUCUACCAGGUACUGAGAGAAGCAGACCCUUUCCUGGUAAAGGACCUGGAAGAGAAGACAUGCUGACAAGAGCAGGCUGGUGUGUAAUUAAGGAUUCCAAACACAACCACUGAAUUAUAUCUUAGUGAUCAAUAAACCAUUAUACUGUAUAUAUUUAACCAUUUAGGUAUGACAUUUAUUUAAUCAAAUACAGUAAAUGUUAGUCAGUUUUGUCACUUUCUUUUAUAUUUUGUUGUAUUAUGUAUUUUCUUCCGUAGCCUAUUCUGCUGUGUGACACUAAAUAACAUUUUUUUUAAUCAAGAAAUCAUAAUAUAUUUACUUAAUGAACCAUUCAGGAAUGCAAAUAUUGCUAUCAUUACUUUUGGGGUGUAAACUUUGGUCAGGGAUUAUGGGUCAUGAACCCAGAUUGAGUACAAGGGUUUGGGUCAUUCUUUAUUGAAGCAGAGAGGAGGAAGAAGCAAAGCGAAAGGCUCCACUCCCGUCAAAAUCUAUUCCUGCAAGAAUACAGAGAUAAACCGACCAAGUGGGGAUUUUUUGUAUAUACAGUUGAAGUCGGAAGUUUACAUACUUAGGUUGGAGUCAUUAAAACUCGUUUUUCAACCGCUCCACAAAUUUCUUGUUAACAAACUAUAGUUUUGACAAGUCGGUUAGGACAUCUACUUUGUGCAUGACACAAGUCAUUUUUCCAACAAUUGUUUACAGACAGAUUAUUUCACUUAUAAUUCACCGAGACCCAAAAUCCUGUGGGUCAGAAGUUUCCAUACACUAAGUUGACUGUGCCUUUAAACAGCUUGGACAAUUCCAUAAAAUGAUGUCAUGGCUUUAGAAGCUUCUGAUAGGCUAAUUGACAUCAUUUGAGUCAAUUGGAGGUGUACCUCUGGAUGUAUUUCAAGGCCAACCUUCAAACUCAGUACCUCUUUGCUUGACAUCAUAGGAAAAUCAAUCAGCCACGAAAUUUUGUUGACCUCUACAAGUCUGGUUCAUCCUUGGGAGCAAUUUCCAAACGCCUGAAGGUACCACAUUCAUCUGUACAAACAAUAGCACGCAAGUAUAAACACCAUGGGACCACUCAGCCGUCAUACCGCUCAGGAAGGAGACGUGUUCUGUCUCCUAGAGAUGAACGUACUUUGGUGCGAAAAGUGCAAAUCAAUCCCAAAACAACAGCAAAGGACCUUGUGAAGAUGCUGGAGGAAACGGGUACGAAAGUAUCUAUAUCCACAGUAAAACAAGUCCUAUAUCGACAUAACCUGAACAGUGGCGGUUCUAGACCAUUUCAACUGGGGGGCUAAGCUGGGGUCAGUUGUACUGUUAGAGGGGCCAGUUACAUUAGACGUUAUUGUUGUCAUAUCGUUUUCUUCACUGCAUUGCAGGCAUUAGCAGGCAAAAGACCAUGUUCAUAAUUAUUAGUGUUCCGUGUUGCCACAGUCUAAUUACGGAUGUAAAAAAAGAACGAUAGCAAAAAUUAGUUCUGUAAAAAUUAUUUCAUACCCACCCCCCCCCCCCCAGAACUGUCGGUUUUAGAUUUUAGUGAUGUUAUAUAUAUGCAGGCCUCAUCCACUACCCUGAGAGCACUUGAUUCAGUGUAUCAUGCAGCCCUCAGGUUCAUUACAAAUCAGAAACGUCUAACACACCAUUGUGAUCUCUACAGCGCUGUUGGCUGGUCGUCAUUGACCUUGCGUAGGCUUAAAUCAAAUCAAAUGUAUUUAUAUAGCCCUUCUUACAUCAGCUGAUAUCUCAAAGUGCUGUACAGAAACCCAGCCUAAAACCCCAAACAGCAAGCAAUGCAGGUGUAGAAGCACGGGGGCUAGGAAAAACUCCCUAGAAAGGCCAAAACCUAGGAAGAAACCUAGAGAGGAACCAGGCUAUGAGGGGUGGCCAGUCCUUUUCUGGCUGUGCCGGGUGGAGAUUAUAACAGCACAUGGACAAGAUGUUCAAAUGUUCAUAAAUGACCAGCAUGGUCAAAUAAUAAUAUUCACAGUUGUCGAGGGUGUAACAAGUCAGCACCUCAAGAGUACAUGUCAGUUGGCUUUUAUAGCUGACCAAUGAGAGUAUCUCUACCGCUCCUGCUGUCUCUAGAGAGUUGAAAACAGCAGGUCUGGGACAGGUAGCACGUCCCGUGAACAGGUCAAGGUUCCAUAGCCGCAGGCAGAACAGUUGAAACUGGAGCAGCAGCACGGCCUGGUGGACUGGGGACAGCAAGGAGUCAUCAUGUCAGGUAGUCCUGAGGCAUGGUCCUAGGGCUCAGGUCCUCCGAGAGAGAGAAAGAGAGAAAGAGAGAAUUAGAGAGAGCAUACUUAAAUUCACACAGGACACCGGAUAAGACAGGAGAAAUACUCCAGAUAUAACAGACUGACCCUAGCCCCCAGACACAUAAACUACUGCAGCAUAAAUACUGGAGGCUGAGACAGGAGGGGUCAGGAGACACUGUGGCCCCAUCCGACGAUACCCCCGGACAGGGCCAAACAGGAAGGAUAUAACCCCACCCACUUUGCCAGAGCACAGCCCCCACACCACUAGAGGGAUAUCUUCAACCACCAACUUACCAUCCUGAGACAAGGCCGAGUAUAGCCCACAAAGAUCUCCGCCAGGGCACAACCCAAGGGGGGGCGCCAACCCAGACAGGAAGACCAUGUCAGUGACUCAACCCACUCAAGUGACGCACCCCUCCUAGGGACGGCAUGGA
This 9972-nucleotide long non-coding RNA is filed under the name Salmo salar (Atlantic salmon). RNAcentral describes it as "lncRNA (ENSSSAG00000087145.1)". Lineage: Eukaryota; Metazoa; Chordata; Actinopteri; Salmoniformes; Salmonidae. The record is from RNAcentral.